Molecule: ribosomal RNA, 489 nt
Filed under: uncultured microorganism
Description: bacterial SSU rRNA
Rfam family: Bacterial small subunit ribosomal RNA
Source: RNAcentral
GAGUUUGAUCGUGGCUCAGGAUGAACGCCGGCGGUGUGCCUAAUACAUGCAAGUCGUACGCACUGGCCCAACUGAUUGAUGGUGCUUGCACCUGAUUGACGAUGGAUCACCAGUGAGUGGCGGACGGGUGAGUAACACGUAGGUAACCUGCCCCGGAGCGGGGAUAACAUUCGGAAACAGAUGCUAAUACCGCAUAACAACAAAGGCCACAUGGCUUUUGUUUGAAAGAUGGCUUUGGCCAUCACUCUGGGAUGGACCUGCGGUGCAUUAGCUAGUUGGUAAGGUAACGGCUUACCAAGGCGAUGAUGCAUAGCCGAGUUGAGAGACUGAUCGGCCACAAUGGAACUGAGACACGGUCCAUACUCCUACGGGAGGCAGCAGUAGGGAAUCUUCCACAAUGGGCGCAAGCCUGAUGGAGCAACACCGCGUGAGUGAAGAAGGGUUUCGGCUCGUAAAGCUCUGUUGUUGGAGAAGAACGUGCGUGAGAGU